GAUGAACGCUGGCGGCGUGCCUAAUGCAUGCAAGUCGAGCGAACAGAUGAGGAGCUUGCUCCUCUGACGUUAGCGGCGGACGGGUGAGUAACACGUGGAUAACCUACCUAUAAGACUGGGAUAACUUCGGGAAACCGGAGCUAAUACCGGAUAAUAUAUUGAACCGCAUGGUUCAAUAGUGAAAGACGGUUUUGCUGUCACUUAUAGAUGGAUCCGCGCCGCAUUAGCUAGUUGGUAAGGUAACGGCUUACCAAGGCAACGAUGCGUAGCCGACCUGAGAGGGUGAUCGGCCACACUGGAACUGAGACACGGUCCAGACUCCUACGGGAGGCAGCAGUAGGGAAUCUUCCGCAAUGGGCGAAAGCCUGACGGAGCAACGCCGCGUGAGUGAUGAAGGUCUUCGGAUCGUAAAACUCUGUUAUUAGGGAAGAACAAAUGUGUAAGUAACUAUGCACGUCUUGACGGUACCUAAUCAGAAAGCCACGGCUAACUACG
RNAcentral lists this ribosomal RNA (495 nucleotides) under uncultured bacterium. RNAcentral describes it as "partial 16S ribosomal RNA". It matches the Rfam family "Bacterial small subunit ribosomal RNA", at positions 28 to 505 of the family's 1533-position model. The record is from RNAcentral.